GACGAACGCUGGCGGCGUGCUUAACACAUGCAAGUCGAACGAAGAGCGAUGGAAGCUUGCUUCUAUCAAUCUUAGUGGCGAACGGGUGAGUAACGCGUAAUCAACCUGCCCUUCAGAGGGGGACAACAGUUGGAAACGACUGCUAAUACCGCAUACGAUCUAAUCUCGGCAUCGAGGAUAGAUGAAAGGUGGCCUCUACAUGUAAGCUAUCACUGAAGGAGGGGAUUGCGUCUGAUUAGCUAGUUGGAGGGGUAACGGCCCACCAAGGCGAUGAUCAGUAGCCGGUCUGAGAGGAUGAACGGCCACAUUGGGACUGAGACACGGCCCAGACUCCUACGGGAGGCAGCAGUGGGGAAUCUUCCGCAAUGGACGAAAGUCUGACGGAGCAACGCCGCGUGAGUGAGGACGGCCUUCGGGUUGUAAAGCUCUGUUAAUCGGGACGAAAGGCCUUCUUGCGAAUAGGGAGAAGGAUUGACGGUACCGGAAGAGAAAGCCACGGCUAACUACGUG
RNAcentral lists this ribosomal RNA (510 nucleotides) under uncultured bacterium. RNAcentral describes it as "partial 16S ribosomal RNA". It matches the Rfam family "Bacterial small subunit ribosomal RNA", at positions 28 to 507 of the family's 1533-position model. The record is from RNAcentral.